AUGUGGCCGCUACGGGUCUAUACCCGCAAAAAGCGGGAGGGUCAGAGGCUCAAUCUCACCCCGACGCCAGACCUAGGCUCUCCAGCGAAGGCCGAGGCCCCGCCAGGUACAGGCUCAAGGCUCGCCCACCGUAAGCUCAGCCGAGCUGCCUCCGGGACGGGACCGAGGGCGGGCGGGGGUGCUAGGCCUCGGGCCCAGGACCCCCCCGAAGCCGGUGGGUAGGUUUCUUGCCCUGAAACGUGCCGCCCUCUCUCAGGUUCGAAGAGAAAAGGCAAAGUGCACGGCUUGUCGAAGAUUGCAGAGAAAGCAGAGCGGAGCAGGCAGGGAGGUAGCGGCUCUGGGCCGUUCAGCCCUCGCUUAGGAGUUACAGGAGAGAAAAGCCUGCAAGAAAAUAGGUCUAGUGAAGACACCCAGGAUGAGAAGAUUGCAUCGUUGCGUGAAUCAGUUACUGAUGACCUCCAGGUUGAUAGUAGUUCAUCAAAUAGUGAACUAGUAUCAGGAUUAAGUUUGCACCAUGGUAUGGCCAGUUCUCUUCUGAGCUAUUCAGUCACAGACUCUUAUGCAGAAUACAAGAGUUUUGAAGAGAGCUUUCCAUCACCUGAACUGUUCAGAAAAUCAGAUUAUUUAGACUGGGAGUGUCCCAACUUGGAAGAACACAUGCAGUGGAAGAAUUCUACUCUUCUGGAUACCAGUAAAGCAGUAGCGAUAGAGAAGGCACCACAGUUUUCAAAUGUCUCAGCAAUUUUCAGUACCUCUUCAGAAGACUAUCAGAAAUGCCAUAGAAAAACAGUGAUGACAGUAGCAGAUCAAAAUGUUUCUCCAAAAGCAAAGUGUGCUUCAAAUUCAGAAUCAGUUAUAGAUAAUGCAGCUUGUGAGAUUUUACUUGCUGAGAAAACUUGCCCUUCAACCCCUGAAAAAACAAAGAAAAAACCUGGAAAAGAUUCUGAACAUAGAGUUACAAAUUUUCAGUUAAACUCUCAUUAUCUAAAAGUCAAGGUUCCGUCUUCCCACUAUAGGUCUGCUUUUAUGUUAAAUGAUGAGUUAAUGGCUGCAGCACACCAACAUGGCACAUGUAUACAUAUGUAACUAACCUGCACGUUGUGCACAUGUACCCUAAAACUUAAAGUAUAAUAAAAAUAAAUAAAUAAAUAAAAAGAAAAAAAAAAGAAAGCAAUGCAGGUAGAACAGUUUAGUUCUGCUGCCUCAGUCCCCAAAACCUGCAUUGAAAACAAAUUCCAGUACUCCUGGUAAGAAAAACAGAGGCCUUUUAACAAGUACUCCAUCUUCAGAGACAGCUGGUUUUGUGAUUGAUUUGUCCUCAGUGCAAAAAGCAUCUUUUGAAGAACUAUUUCCAAAUGUCAGCAAUUAUGUUAAUUCAAAUGAAAUUGUUCCUGUGUCAAGUUUGCAGGAAAAUUCUUCAAAUGAGUUUCCUGCAAAUGCAUCAGAAAUAUGUUGUAUUAUUAGAACAUCACCAGGAACUAGACAAGUGAAAAAUAAAGGUGUUAUUGUAAAGAAGAAGAAAUAUUCUCUUCCUAAGGAUACCCCUCAAGAUAUCAUAAUAAAAAUGGCAUGAAAAAA
This 1578-nucleotide long non-coding RNA is filed under the name Homo sapiens (human). RNAcentral describes it as "non-protein coding lnc-MEIKIN-3:2". Lineage: Eukaryota; Metazoa; Chordata; Mammalia; Primates; Hominidae. The record is from RNAcentral.